Transfer RNA from Felis catus (domestic cat), 73 nucleotides. It matches the Rfam family "tRNA". From Rfam's summary of the family: Transfer RNA (tRNA) molecules are approximately 80 nucleotides in length. Their secondary structure includes four short double-helical elements and three loops (D, anti-codon, and T loops). The record is from Rfam. Lineage: Eukaryota; Metazoa; Chordata; Mammalia; Carnivora; Felidae.
GCCUGGCUGGCUCAGUUGGUAGAGCGUGCGACUCUUGAUCUUGGGGUUCUGAGUUUGAGCCCCAGGCUGGGCA